GAUGAACGCUGGCGGCAUGCCUAACACAUGCAAGUCGAGCGGCAGCGAGGAGUGCUUGCACCCUGUCGGCGAGCGGCGGACGGCUGAGUAACGCGUAGGAACGUGCACCAAAGUGAGGAAUAACUGCCCGAAAGGGUAGCUACUACCGCAUAUUAUCUGCGGAUGAAAGGAUUUAUCCGGUUUGGGAGCGGCUCGCGUCGGAUUAGGUAGUUGGUGAGGUAAUGGCUCACCAAGCCGACGAUCCGUAGCUGGUCUGAGAGGAUGACCCGCCAGACUGGAACUGAGACACGGUCCAGACUCCUACGGGAGGCAGCAGUGAGGAAUCCUCCACAAUGGGCGAAAGCCUGAUGGAGCAACGCCGCGUGCAGGACGAAGGCCUUCGGGUUGUAAACUGCUUUUAUAAGUGAGGAAUAUGACGUUAACUUAUGAAUAAGGAUCGGCUAACUACGUG
RNAcentral lists this ribosomal RNA (451 nucleotides) under uncultured bacterium. RNAcentral describes it as "partial 16S ribosomal RNA". It matches the Rfam family "Bacterial small subunit ribosomal RNA", at positions 28 to 507 of the family's 1533-position model. The record is from RNAcentral.